Molecule: ribosomal RNA, 730 nt
Filed under: uncultured bacterium
Lineage: Bacteria
Description: bacterial SSU rRNA
Rfam family: Bacterial small subunit ribosomal RNA
Source: RNAcentral
AACAGGAUUAGAUACCCUGGUAGUCCACGCCGUAAACGAUGUCGACUUGGAGGUUGUGCCCUUGAGGCGUGGCUUCCGGAGCUAACGCGUUAAGUCGACCGCCUGGGGAGUACGGCCGCAAGGUUAAAACUCAAAUGAAUUGACGGGGGCCCGCACAAGCGGUGGAGCAUGUGGUUUAAUUCGAUGCAACGCGAAGAACCUUACCUGGUCUUGACAUCCACAGAACUUUCCAGAGAUGGAUUGGUGCCUUCGGGAACUGUGAGACAGGUGCUGCAUGGCUGUCGUCAGCUCGUGUUGUGAAAUGUUGGGUUAAGUCCCGCAACGAGCGCAACCCUUAUCCUUUGUUGCCAGCGGUCCGGCCGGGAACUCAAAGGAGACUGCCAGUGAUAAACUGGAGGAAGGUGGGGAUGACGUCAAGUCAUCAUGGCCCUUACGACCAGGGCUACACACGUGCUACAAUGGCGCAUACAAAGAGAAGCGACCUCGCGAGAGCAAGCGGACCUCAUGAAGUGCGUCGUAGUCCGGAUUGGAGUCUGCAACUCGACUCCAUGAAGUCGGAAUCGCUAGUAAUCGUGGAUCAGAAUGCCACGGUGAAUACGUUCCCGGGCCUUGUACACACCGCCCGUCACACCAUGGGAGUGGGUUGCAAAAGAAGUAGGUAGCUUAACCUUCGGGAGGGCGCUUACCACUUUGUGAUUCAUGACUGGGGUGAAGUCGUAACAAGGUAACC